Molecule: ribosomal RNA, 253 nt
Filed under: uncultured bacterium
Lineage: Bacteria
Description: partial 16S ribosomal RNA
Rfam family: Bacterial small subunit ribosomal RNA
Source: RNAcentral
UACGAAGGGGGCUAGCGUUGCUCGGAAUCACUGGGCGUAAAGGGCGCGUAGGCGGCCUUCUAAGUCGAACGUGAAAUCCCCGGGCUCAACCCGGGAACUGCGUCCGAUACUGGAAGGCUUGAAUCCGGGAGAGGGAUGCGGAAUUCCAGGUGUAGCGGUGAAAUGCGUAGAUAUCUGGAGGAACACCGGUGGCGAAGGCGGCAUCCUGGACCGGCAUUGACGCUGAGGCGCGAAAGCCAGGGGAGCAAACGGG